UACUUGCAAUGGCUAAGCUUACACUGAG
RNAcentral lists this small RNA (28 nucleotides) under Bombyx mori (domestic silkworm). RNAcentral describes it as "ovarian small RNA-21654". Lineage: Eukaryota; Metazoa; Arthropoda; Insecta; Lepidoptera; Bombycidae. The record is from RNAcentral.